GUGCCAGCAGCCGCGGUAAUACCGGCAGCUCAAGUGAUGUCCCAUAUUAUUGGGCCUAAAGCGUCCGUAGCUGGCCGACCAAGUCUCCCGGGAAAUCCACCCGCCCAACGGGUGGGCGUCCGGUAGAAACUGUGUGGCUUGGAACCGGAAGGCUCGAAGGGUACGUUCGGGGUAGGAGUGAAAUCCCAUAAUCCCGGACGGACUACCGAUGGCGAAAGCACUCUGAGAAGACGGCUUCGACAGUGAGGGACGAAAGCUCGGGUCUCAAACCGGAUUAGAUACCCGUGUAGUCC
This 293-nucleotide ribosomal RNA is filed under the name uncultured bacterium. RNAcentral describes it as "partial 16S ribosomal RNA". It matches the Rfam family "Archaeal small subunit ribosomal RNA", at positions 455 to 747 of the family's 1478-position model. The record is from RNAcentral.